Molecule: ribosomal RNA, 371 nt
Filed under: uncultured organism
Description: partial 16S ribosomal RNA
Rfam family: Bacterial small subunit ribosomal RNA
Source: RNAcentral
GGAGGGUGCAAGCGUUAAUCGGAAUUACUGGGCGUGAAGCGCGCGUAGGUGGUAAAGUAAGUUGACUGUGAAAGCCCUGGGCUUAACCUGGGAAAGUCAGUCAAAACUGCUUCACUAGAGUACAGGAGAGGGCAGUGGAAUUUCCGGUGUAGCGGUGAAAUGCGUAGAGAUCGGAAGGAACACCAGUGGCGAAGGCGACUGCCUGGCCUGAUACUGACACUGAGGUGCGAAAGCGUGGGUAGCAAACAGGGAUUAGAUACCCUGGUAGUCCACGCCGUAAACGAUGUCAACUAGCUGUUGGACAUUAUAAGAUGAUUAGUGGCGUAGCUAACGCACUAAGUUGACCGCCUGGGAGUACGGUCGCAAGAUUA